Molecule: ribosomal RNA, 775 nt
Filed under: uncultured Neocallimastigales
Lineage: Eukaryota; Fungi; Neocallimastigomycota; Neocallimastigomycetes; Neocallimastigales
Description: partial large subunit ribosomal RNA
Rfam family: Eukaryotic large subunit ribosomal RNA
Source: RNAcentral
AGAGAGAGACAUGCGCGCAUAUCAAUAAGCGGAGGAAAAGAAACUAACAAGGAUUCCCUUAGUAACGGCGAGUGAAGCGGGAAGAGCUCAAAUUUGAAAUCUUCAAGGUUUUACCUUGACGAAUUGUAGUUUAAAGAAGUGUUUUCUGUUGAAGUUUUGGUAAAAGUUCUUUGGAAUAGGACAUCAUAGAGGGUGAGAAUCCCGUAUUUGACCAUUAUUUCCAGCUUUGUGAUACACUUUCAAAGAGUCGGAUUGUUUGGGAAUGCAGUCCAAAAUGGGUGGUAAAUUUCAUCUAAAGCUAAAUAUUGGCGAGAGACCGAUAGCGAACAAGUACCGUGAGGGAAAGAUGAAAAGAACUUUGAAAAGAGAGUUAAACAGUACGUGAAAUUGUCAAAAGGGAAGCGUUUGACACCAGUGUUGUUUUCCUCGAAAAUCAAUUAAAAAAGGCAGGAUUUUGUGUUGUAUUGACUUUAUCAGCUUUCUGCACUCUUUUCUUGUCUUUUUUAAUGCACUUUUCGUUUAACAAGUCAACAUCAAUUUCUUUUGUUGUAAAAGGGUCAUUGGAAGGUGGCUUUCUUUUCGGAGAAAGUGUUUAUAGCCUUUGGCCUCUGCAAUCGGAGAGAUUGAGGUCUGCAGCGUAGAUCCUUCGGGGUUAGAUACAUUUGUGCUAAGUUAUAGCCUUUCAUAGACAACUUGUUGACUAUGAUCAGUCAUGUAGCUUACUCGCUUAUGCUAUUUUACCUACGCUUAGGAUGUUGAUGUGAUACUGCGAGCA